GAGUUGAGCUUUAGAAGGAAUUCAGCAGAAAAGAUGGAGAGGUUAAAGUAAUCAGUAAUUGAAGAGGAAGUUAGAUUAGGAGGAAAUCAGAAGAAAGACUUUUCUACGUAAUUUCACACUGUAGGAAGAAGACCAAGUUUGCUUUGUGACUGAAAGGUGUUGGGUAUAGACCCAAAAUAUGAACAGGAAGAAUGAGAUAUGCUCUCAAGAGAGUAAGGAUCAAAUGUGCUGUUCAGUGCAGAACACAUGUGAAAGAUUUGGAAGGACAUUGAGUGGCAAGCAAAAUCAUCUGACUAUUGUCUCCUAGAACUAGAAACUACAAGACCCCUUCAUUUUUCCAUAUAUGAGAAACUACUGGAUACUAUGUAAAAUUAGAUAUUUUACUAACAGGCAAAAAUAAUCAUCUCAUUUCAGAAGGAAUUUUAAGUGGUUUAUACAUUCCAAAAGCAAUCACUUUUAAGUAUUUAUAACAUUUGCAAGAAAGCUUAAUGUUUCAUUUUGCCCAACAGCUAGAUGCUCCAUUUUUUAAAAAAAGCUAAACAAAUUCAAGCUGAUUUAACCAACACACACUACAGGGGAGCAGAGAGACCUUCACAAGCACGAAUUAAAAAGCUUGGUAUAAAAGAAAAACUCAAUGAAUUUAUCAUGAGGAAAACUAUUAAACACAGAUCUGCCAAAGUCAACUUUUCAUCUACUAUAAAAGUUUGUGUUUUUUCCUGUUGAUGGUAAAUAUGAAUUGACU
RNAcentral lists this long non-coding RNA (742 nucleotides) under Mus musculus (house mouse). RNAcentral describes it as "long non-coding RNA chr1:32703474-32704216". The record is from RNAcentral. Lineage: Eukaryota; Metazoa; Chordata; Mammalia; Rodentia; Muridae.